Molecule: long non-coding RNA, 1646 nt
Filed under: Citrus x clementina
Lineage: Eukaryota; Viridiplantae; Streptophyta; Magnoliopsida; Sapindales; Rutaceae
Description: Citrus clementina (C. clementina) long non-coding RNA (CCLE_LNC001820)
Source: RNAcentral
AUAGUUUAUUUAUAGUCAUUUUUUUUUAUUGUUAUUAUCAAAGGGUAUAACAGUAAAAAAGGAGUCAGUGUAAGCAUUUAUGAAACCAAUGAAAUUUAUGUAACCUUUUAUGCAAACCUUGAUAGUGUGGGUGGAUUUUUCCCUUAUCCUUAUUACUAUUUGUUGUCGUUUGAAUUUAAUGAUCUUAUCCCCUAAAAAUCUAAUCUCUUUCAGAAUAAUUUCUUUUUGUGAUUUUUUAUUUCGAAAGCCUAUUUUUAGGCCAUCCGCAUCUGGACCUUUUAGAUUUACGUUUCUAUGGGAUCAUUUGUGAAGUUGUGAAUUUGUUCGAGGUCUACUGGACAUAUUUGAAACCCAGUUAAGCACAUGCAACUUAUAAUGUAAAAGUGGCCAUGCGAUUGCCCCAGUAAAAAUCUACAGACGUAGAAUAAAGCAAUACAGACAUGCAAGCAAGCUAAAACAUUUUCCUUUUGCUAAUGAGAACAUGAAAAUAUAUUUACAGGAUCCUUAAAUUCAUAUGAUGGCCAUACGUGCGAAAAUUAAAGUGUUAUGCUUCAUUCUAUUGAUGCUAUGAAAAAACAUAUUUCGUGCCACGUGCUUUACAUUGAUCAUAUCACUCGUCAUGCAAUAAAAUAUAUUUCUUAUGCAGUAUAAGUGGAAUCAAGUCAUUCUUUUGGGACUUACUUAGAGGGGUUUGGUGUGGAUGGUAAGAGAAACGAUUUAGACUAAGUAUCUAAUAAAUCUGUCGAGACCCAGAUCCAAUGGACUUGUGCGGGAUUUAUUAGAUAAUAUAGCAAGCAAAGAACUUAGGUUAUAGUAUUUAAUACAACUAGGGACCUAUUUGAUAAAUUCCAAAAUUGUAGACAAUUCUUAUACGUGAUUAUCAUGUUACAGUUGUUUAUUAUCUAAACAAUAAAACUUAGAUUAAAAUUAUAAAUUUAUUUUAAUCACAAUUACGCCAUUAUUUAUCUAAAUAUAUAUUAUUUAGUAGCAUAUUAAAAGAAAACCACUUGAAUUGCUAUAUAUAUAACUACCAAAGGGCUUAGGUUAUAAUAUUUAAUACACAACUAGGGUUUUAUUUUGAUGAAUUCCAAACCAAAAUUAUAUAUAUUACUUAUACGUGAUUAUCAUGCUAUAGUUAUUUAUUAUCUAAAAAUUAAAAAAUAAAACUUAGAUUAAAGUUAUCAAUUUAUUUUCAUCACAAUAACGCCAUUAUUUAUCUAAUUGUAUAUUAUUUAGUAGCAUAUUAAAAGAAAACCACUUGAGUUGCAAUGUUUCAUUUCUUCAUGCAAUAUCCAUCCGUAAGAUAAGCAAUAUCCAAUUAAUAAAAGUUUAGCCUAAAUGAAAGUCCAAGAAUAAGCAAAUUCUGUGACUUUUAGGCUAUUAAAGUAGAGCCAACAUGCAUUGCCGAGACGGGAGGGAUCAUGCAGAAAUAAGAGUAGGGAUGGCAAAAAUCCCCACGGGGACGGGUACCCUCGGGGAUUUUCCCCAUUCGGGGAGGGUAUGGGGAUAAUUUCAUACCCAAUUUCUUAUUCGGGGAGGGGACGGAGAAAUUUUUUUACCCAAUUUCUUAUUCGGGGAGGGGACGGGGAUGAGGUGGAAUCCCCAUCCCCUACCCAUUUCCCCAUUUUAAUUUUUAAUUUAAUUUU